Molecule: transfer RNA, 62 nt
Filed under: Siphonaria pectinata
Lineage: Eukaryota; Metazoa; Mollusca; Gastropoda; Siphonariida; Siphonariidae
Description: tRNA-Cys
Source: RNAcentral
AAGCGGAUAGUUUAUAUAAAACAUUAAGUCGCAAACUUGAAGUAGGAUUUUCCCUCCGUUUU